RNAcentral lists this transfer RNA (65 nucleotides) under Dipodomys ordii (Ord's kangaroo rat). It matches the Rfam family "tRNA". From Rfam's summary of the family: Transfer RNA (tRNA) molecules are approximately 80 nucleotides in length. Their secondary structure includes four short double-helical elements and three loops (D, anti-codon, and T loops). Further hydrogen bonds mediate the characteristic L-shaped molecular structure. tRNAs have two regions of fundamental functional importance: the anti-codon, which is responsible for specific mRNA codon recognition, and the 3' end, to which the tRNAs corresponding amino acid is attached (by aminoacyl-tRNA synthetases). tRNAs cope with the degeneracy of the genetic code in two manners: having more than one tRNA (with a specific anti-codon) for a particular amino acid; and 'wobble' base-pairing, i.e. permitting non-standard base-pairing at the 3rd anti-codon position. Lineage: Eukaryota; Metazoa; Chordata; Mammalia; Rodentia; Heteromyidae. The record is from Rfam by way of RNAcentral.
GGUGGCUCAGUGGUAGAGCGCCUGCCUUGCAUGCAUGAGGCCCUUGGUUCGAUUCCUCAGCACCA